ACGAGUGGCGGACGGGUGAGUAACACGUGGGUAACCUGCCCUUAAGUGGGGGAUAACAUUUGGAAACAGAUGCUAAUACCGCAUAGAUCCAAGAACCGCAUGGUUCUUGGCUGAAAGAUGGCGUAAGCUAUCGCUUUUGGAUGGACCCGCGGCGUAUUAGCUAGUUGGUGAGGUAAUGGCUCACCAAGGCGAUGAUACGUAGCCGAACUGAGAGGUUGAUCGGCCACAUUGGGACUGAGACACGGCCCAAACUCCUACGGGAGGCAGCAGUAGGGAAUCUUCCACAAUGGACGCAAGUCUGAUGGAGCAACGCCGCGUGAGUGAAGAAGGCUUUCGGGUCGUAAAACUCUGUUGUUGGAGAAGAAUGGUCGGCAGAGUAACUGUUGUCGGCGUGACGGUAUCCAACCAGAAAGCCACGGCUAACUACGUGCCAGCAGCCGCGGUAAUACGUAGGUGGCAAGCGUUAUCCGGAUUUAUUGGGCGUAAAGCGAGCGCAGGCGGUUUUUUAAGUCUGAUGUGAAAGCCCUCGGCUUAACCGAGGAAGCGCAUCGGAAACUGGGAAACUUGAGUGCAGAAGAGGACAGUGGAACUCCAUGUGUAGCGGUGAAAUGCGUAGAUAUAUGGAAGAACACCAGUGGCGAAGGCGGCUGUCUGGUCUGUAACUGACGCUGAGGCUCGAAAGCAUGGGUAGCGAACAGGAUUAGAUACCCUGGUAGUCCAUGCCGUAAACGAUGAAUGCUAGGUGUUGGAGGGUUUCCGCCCUUCAGUGCCGCAGCUAACGCAUUAAGCAUUCCGCCUGGGGAGUACGACCGCAAGGUUGAAACUCAAAGGAAUUGACGGGGGCCCGCACAAGCGGUGGAGCAUGUGGUUUAAUUCGAAGCAACGCGAAGAACCUUACCAGGUCUUGACAUCUUUUGAUCACCUGAGAGAUCAGGUUUCCCCUUCGGGGGCAAAAUGACAGGUGGUGCAUGGUUGUCGUCAGCUCGUGUCGUGAGAUGUUGGGUUAAGUCCCGCAACGAGCGCAACCCUUAUGACUAGUUGCCAGCAUUUAGUUGGGCACUCUAGUAAGACUGCCGGUGACAAACCGGAGGAAGGUGGGGAUGACGUCAAAUCAUCAUGCCCCUUAUGACCUGGGCUACACACGUGCUACAAUGGAUGGUACAACGAGUUGCGAGACCGCGAGGUCAAGCUAAUCUCUUAAAGCCAUUCUCAGUUCGGACUGUAGGCUGCAACUCGCCUACACGAAGUCGGAAUCGCUAGUAAUCGCGGAUCAGCACGCCGCGGUGAAUACGUUCCCGGGCCUUGUACACACCGCCCGUCACACCAUGAGAGUUUGUAACACCCGAAGCCGGUGGGGUAACCCUUUUAGGGAGCGAGCCGUCUAAGGUGGGACAAAUGAUUAGGGUGAAGUCGUAACAA
This 1419-nucleotide ribosomal RNA is filed under the name uncultured Lactobacillus sp. Its description in RNAcentral is "16S ribosomal RNA". It matches the Rfam family "Bacterial small subunit ribosomal RNA". The record is from RNAcentral. Lineage: Bacteria; Bacillati; Bacillota; Bacilli; Lactobacillales; Lactobacillaceae.